GUCCUGAUUCUCCUGGAGUCUCCAGCCCGCCCAGUGGCCGCAGUCACCCAGGUCCAGAGGCGGCGGUAUCACAGGCUCUCCGACAUGUCUAUGCUGGCUGAACGUCGGCGGAAGCAGAAGUGGGCUGUGGAUCCUCAGAACACUGCUUGGAGUAAUGACGAUUCCAAGUUUGGCCAGCGGAUGCUAGAGAAGAUGGGGUGGUCUAAAGGAAAGCCCAGUCGUCGUUUGUCUCCAGCCUCCCGCAGCCCCAGUCGUCAUUCUUCUCCAGCCUCCCGCACCCCAGUCGUCUCUUCUCCAGCCUCCGGCACCCCAGUCGUCUCUUCUCCAUGCAGGGCAGAGCCCCGCUUCAGCCACUGUCAUCACUUGAGCUCACUGACUGGGUUUAGGGGCUCAGGAGCAAGGAGCCACAGAUCAUAUUAAAGUUCAAGUGAAAAAUAACCACCUGGGACUCGGAGCUACCAUCAAUAAUGAAG
Molecule: unclassified non-coding RNA, 473 nt
Filed under: Homo sapiens (human)
Lineage: Eukaryota; Metazoa; Chordata; Mammalia; Primates; Hominidae
Description: PIN2 (TERF1) interacting telomerase inhibitor 1 (ENSG00000284764.2)
Source: RNAcentral